CAGUAGCCACGGUAAUACAGAGGGUGCGAGCGUUAAUCGGAUUUACUGGGCGUAAAGCGUGCGUAGGCGGCUUUUUAAGUCGGAUGUGAAAUCCCUGAGCUUAACUUAGGAAUUGCAUUCGAUACUGGGAAGCUAGAGUAUGGGAGAGGAUGGUAGAAUUCCAGGUGUAGCGGUGAAAUGCGUAGAGAUCUGGAGGAAUACCGAUGGCGAAGGCAGCCAUCUGGCCUAAUACUGACGCUGAGGUACGAAAGCAUGGGGAGCAAACAGGAUUAGAGACCCGCGUAGUCCCUGUCUCUUAUAA
This 301-nucleotide ribosomal RNA is filed under the name uncultured bacterium. RNAcentral describes it as "partial 16S ribosomal RNA". It matches the Rfam family "Bacterial small subunit ribosomal RNA", at positions 509 to 809 of the family's 1533-position model. The record is from RNAcentral.